Molecule: unclassified non-coding RNA, 334 nt
Filed under: Hevea brasiliensis (rubber tree)
Lineage: Eukaryota; Viridiplantae; Streptophyta; Magnoliopsida; Malpighiales; Euphorbiaceae
Source: RNAcentral
GCCUUCAAGUCAUUGACGAUGGCCUCGGUAGGAUUCUCAGCAACCCCAUGGAACUUCUUAAAUCCAGUCACAUGAAUAGUAACCCCUGCUAGUCCUUCAGAACCCAUUUCUUUCACUUGGGUCUGCAAACAAUUCCCCGUUGUUUGUCAACGACUUAUUUUUACUACUAAGUCCUCCCCUUCGAUGCCGGCGCCGGAAACGGAAGUUUGGUGAAUUUGAGAGCUGAAUUGGCGCUCUGAGGAGGUAGAGAAAGGCAAAAAUGGCUGCGGGUAAAGCAGAAGCUUGAUCCGAUUCCAACAUUAAUGCCGCUUACCAGGCUGUCACGGCGGCGGGC